This is a non-coding RNA of Albula goreensis, 71 nucleotides long. Lineage: Eukaryota; Metazoa; Chordata; Actinopteri; Albuliformes; Albulidae. The record is from the annotation of a GenBank genome assembly.
GUUUUGUUAGUAUAGUGGCCAGUAUCACUGUCCGACACACGGAGACUGGGGUUCAAUUCCCUGACAGGAAG